This 272-nucleotide ribosomal RNA is filed under the name uncultured bacterium. RNAcentral's name for it is "partial small subunit ribosomal RNA". It matches the Rfam family "Bacterial small subunit ribosomal RNA", at positions 26 to 285 of the family's 1533-position model. The record is from RNAcentral.
AGAAUCAACGCUGGCGGCGUGCCUAACACAUGCAAGUCGAACGCGAAAGGGGAGCAAUCCCUGAGUAGAGUGGCAAACGGGUGAGUAACACGUGGGUGACCUGCCUUCGAGUGGGGGAUAACGUUCCGAAAGGAACGCUAAUACCGCAUGACAUCCUGUCUUUGAAUAGACGGAGAUCAAAGCUGGGGAUCGCAAGACCUGGCGCUUGAAGAGGGGCCCGCGCCUGAUUAGCUAGUUGGUGAGGUAACGGCUCACCAAGGCAACGAUCAGUA